RNAcentral lists this ribosomal RNA (393 nucleotides) under uncultured Sphingobacteriales bacterium. Its description in RNAcentral is "bacterial SSU rRNA". It matches the Rfam family "Bacterial small subunit ribosomal RNA", at positions 986 to 1382 of the family's 1533-position model. Lineage: Bacteria; Pseudomonadati; Bacteroidota; Sphingobacteriia; Sphingobacteriales. The record is from RNAcentral.
GGGGAGUGACAGCUGUCGAAAGAUGGUUUUCUUCGGACACUCUUCAAGGUGCUGCAUGGUUGUCGUCAGCUCGUGCCGUGAGGUGUCGGGUUAAGUCCCAUAACGAGCGCAACCCUUACCGUUAGUUACCAUCAGGUUAAGCUGGGGACUCUAGCGGGACUGCCACCGUAAGGUGAGAGGAAGGUGGGGAUGACGUCAAAUCAGCACGGCCCUUAUGUCCAGGGCUACACACGUGUUACAAUGGCCGGUACAAAGGGCAGCUACUUCGCGAGAAGAUGCUAAUCUCGAAAGCCGGUCUCAGUUCGGAUCGAAGUCUGCAACCCGACUUCGUGAAGCUGGAUUCGCUAGUAAUCGCGCAUCAGCCAUGGCGCGGUGAAUACGUUCCCGGGCCUU